RNAcentral lists this ribosomal RNA (463 nucleotides) under uncultured bacterium. RNAcentral describes it as "partial 16S ribosomal RNA". It matches the Rfam family "Bacterial small subunit ribosomal RNA", at positions 29 to 507 of the family's 1533-position model. The record is from RNAcentral.
ACGAACGCUGGCGGCGUGCUUCACACAUGCCAGUCGAACGGAAAGGCCCUGCUUGCCGGGUACUCGAGUGGCGAACGGGUGAGUAACACGUGGGUGAUCUGCCCUGCACUUCGGGAUAAGCCUGGGAAACUGGGUCUAAUACCGGAUAGGAGCCAUUUUUAGUGUGAUGGUUGGAAAGUUUUUUCGGUGUAGGAUGAGCUCGCGGCCUAUCAGCUUGUUGGUGGGGUAAUGGCCUACCAAGGCGGCGACGGGUAGCCGGCCUGAGAGGGUGGACGGCCACAUUGGGACUGAGAUACGGCCCAGACUCCUACGGGAGGCAGCAGUGGGGAAUAUUGCACAAUGGGCGCAAGCCUGACGCAGCGACGCCGCGUGGGGGAUGACGGCCUUCGGGUUGUAAACUCCUUUCGCUAGGGACGAAGCUUUUGUGACGGUACCUAGAUAAGAAGCACCGGCUAACUACGUG